CUAAGGCUCCAGAGGAAGCCACGGCUAACUCUGUGCCAGCAGCCGCGGUAAUACAGAGGCGGCAAGCGUUGUUCGGAAUUAUUGGGCGUAAAGAGCACGUAGGCGGCCUUGCAAGUCAGUUGUGAAGGCCUUCCGCUUAACGGAAGAAUGCCAGCUGAUACUACAGGGCUUGAGUACGGGAGGGGAGAGUGGAACUUCUGGUGGAGCGGUGAAAUGCGUAGAUAUCAGAAGGAACGCCGGCGGCGAAAGCGACUCUCUGGCCCGAAACUGACGCUGAGUGUGCGAAAGCUAGGGGAGCAAACGGGAUUAGAUACCCCGGUAGUCCUAGCCGUAAA
RNAcentral lists this ribosomal RNA (335 nucleotides) under uncultured Planctomycetales bacterium. Its description in RNAcentral is "bacterial SSU rRNA". It matches the Rfam family "Bacterial small subunit ribosomal RNA", at positions 473 to 806 of the family's 1533-position model. Lineage: Bacteria; Pseudomonadati; Planctomycetota; Planctomycetia; Planctomycetales. The record is from RNAcentral.